This 103-nucleotide small nuclear RNA is filed under the name Triticum aestivum (bread wheat). Lineage: Eukaryota; Viridiplantae; Streptophyta; Magnoliopsida; Poales; Poaceae. The record is from RNAcentral.
CUCCCUUCGGGGACAUCCGAUAAAAUUGGAACGAUAUAGAGAAGAUUAGCAUGGCUCCUGCGCAAGGAUGACACGAAUAAAUCGAGAAAUGGUCCAAAUUUUU